CAGCAUUACUGUCCUUCUCUGUAUUUCUUGGCUUGGCAGCUUCAUUGCUGGGCUCUGGGCUGGGCCUGUCUGUCUCUUCCACAGGCUCUUUUGGUGCCACUUUUUUGUCUUCAGCUGUUUUGCUAUUUAAAUGAACAGCUGAGGAGGAAUUUUUGGAGUCCUUGGCUUUUUUGUGCAUAGAAGUUUGACUGUUAUGACUGGAGGCGAGAGGGGAAGACAUUUUCUGGGCUUUGCUUCCCUCCGACUGUUCUUUUCGAGGCGGUCCCCAGAUAAAGUUCUCUGAAGGCGUGUAGUGUUUCUGGGCGAACCGCAGGAGCUUUCUCCUUUCUCUUCUGUCUCUAAUUGUAUAAACAAAAUACUCUAGAGCACUCUGCUUAAUAUUGGGAAUAGUAUUCUCCACAAGAGCUUCAUGAAGAAUAAAUUUUACAAGAGGAGAUUUAAAACUUUCAUAUCCAAGCUCACCAAGGCUUUUAAGAAUACGAGUGAUUCUUAAAUAGUUGUGCUGGGACCUGGAAGAGAGGAUUGAAUAAAAUGAGUGGGGGAAAUCAGGUGUAGGAAGGCAGGAGAAUGAAAACUAUUGGGAAAAUAUUUUUUAUGGAAAUGUAAGCCAUGGAAAUAUGCUGUGUAAUGACUUCCUAAUGCCAUAUUUGAUACCAUUAAGAAUAAACCAGAGGGUAUUAAAUCCUUAGGCCACAAUGUAAUGUCAAUCUAUGUGAAAGUCAAAUGUAUAAAAUAAACUUCCCUUGUCUGUUGAGUUCUUCAUAUUAGAAAAAUAUUUAGGUUUAAAUUUAUUACCACUGUCAAAUUGUUGCUUAUUACUGAAAAUACACUGAAGAUGAAUGAUCUAACAGAGCAUUUAUUUGCACCAACAUCAAUGUACUGUACUCAUCAGAGGUAACCAUUGCUAAACAUAAACACAUUAGCUAACAGCUGACUGGUACAAUUUAUAGUGCCAGCUGAUAAGCAAAAUCCACCACGUAAGCCAACUCAUAAGGAUGGCGGCAAAAACUACUCUACUUUGCUAAAACAGUUCUGACAAAGGACACAAAACUGACUUAUUUAGCAGAGCUUAGUUUAACAGUUAAGAGCAUGGGCUUUGGAGUCAGACCUGAGUUCACACCCUGGCUCUGUAACUUAGCAGCUAAGUGAAACUAUGUUUCUCUAUGUCUCAAUAUCCUCAUCUGUAAAAUGGGGAAAAGUGCCCACAACUUACAGGACUGUUGUAAGAAUCAAAUGAGAUGAUACACAUGCUGGGUAUAUAGAACUCGAUAAGUACUAGAUACUAUUUAAAACUAUUAGUAUUAUCAUUUAAAGAUACGAGAUUAGGGACCACCAUAUUUGUACCUAUCCAACUUAACCUAAUUUUCUUCAAUCUCUGGUCAUUCUUUCCUCCUCUUUCCCUAUCUGAUAAUUUUAAAUCUUAUUUCUAAUGGUCUUGAUUCCAAGGGUACAUUUUCCCCCAGAUUACACUAACAUCUUUCCUCUCUAUCACAAAACUAAUGCCAUUACUGGAUGAAUGUUUUCCAAAUCUAUUUUGUCACAAUUCAUAAUGUAACUCCCCAAACUCACUCAGCUCAAUCUUUGCUUUAUUACACAUGCCUGGUCAAAUUCCAAAAGAAUCAUCAGCCACAUGUAUUAAUCAUAGGUGUUGUCAACAGCCCAGGUAUUUAUUUACCCAAUAUUGCCACAUAACAAUAACCAUCACUUAUUUCUAACUUCCUAAAGCCUGUUUUAUAUCUCAGACAUGGAACUUUCUGCAAACAUUAUAUAUACCUGUCCUAGCUUCCAAAAAUGCUUGAAGAUUUUACUUUGAAAUAAUUAGCAAAUUACUUGGGAAGCAGGGAGAAAGAUGUUGAUGAAUUAAGGGAUGGCAGAGUAUGGUUCCAUGGUCUUAUGUUUCAAUGAGAAAGUUUCUUUGGACAAAACAAAAACCUUAAUGAUUCAUACUAACCAAACACUGGAAAAGCUAAGCCCAACAGUUCAUCAUCUUCAUCUUUCUGGAUGUUUACUAAAAAAUUAUUGUCUUAACAUUCAACUGUGAAGCCCAGAGGGUAAAAUGCAGCACAGAUGUCUCAGUUUUACACAUCUGUAUUUUUGAAUAGGAAGUAACACUCUUGAGACAAUACAAAUUUGGGUACAGUUAAGACAAUGUGUCACUAACAGCAGGAACAACUUAGUUGUUACAUUCCUAUGGAGUUUGCAUACUCUAAAUACUUACUGACAAAACCCUUGGGCAAUUCUGCCUCAUAUAUCUAUGAGAAAAAGAUGUAUAAAAAGGUGGAAGAAUUCUUUUUUUAAAAAAGAGGAGCUCUAUGACUAAACAAAAUUUACUAUAUUUGCAACCAGCUCAAUUUUAUAUAGCCAAUCUUAGAUGAAUGCUGAAGUUAAAAUUUCUGUACACAUUUACUAUAUCUAUAUAUGCUCCAAUUAAAAAUAUUUACACAACAGUAUAAAAGGAAAAAGACUUGGGUUAAAAAAUGAUGAUGAGUAUCCCAGAACAAAACUACAAAAUAAAGCAAUUGGGUGUUUCAGUAUGAUUUGUAAUAAAUGUCAUAGUGAAAGACUAAAUGGUAUAGAAGAGAGUGGCAAAAAUCCUUAUAAUGUAUAAACCAUCUUAGGGUUACACUAUAGGAAAAAGAAAGAAGCUGAGGUUCCAGACAGAGGUUAAGGGUAGCAAAUAGUGUUGAAAUUGCAAGAAGUCUAGGUAGGUAAAGAGAGAAGACAUACAAGGUGAGAACCAGGAAACAAAAAAUAAAAGUUAAAAGGCUCCCCAGGGUCUAAAUAUGGCUCAGUAAUCCAAGUUGAUUACAAACAAAAUUGAAAACACCUCUUAGUGGUUGGUCCAUAUAUUUGUACUCUCAUGUCUGAAAAUAUUUUGCCUCUUUUAGUCAAGGUCGCUUGUUCACUCAAUGUUAUUUUAUUUUACUUUGAUUCAAUAUUUUUCCUCUGCUUAGCUACUAUAAAUAUAUUGAGUUCCCUGCCUACUGUAAACUACUCAAGAUGCCAUAUACAUUAAAAUACAAAUAAGUUAUGACAUUUAAGAAUAAGUCAGAAAAGGACCCAAUUGAAGAAGAAAAUAGAACAGACGUUUUCAUAGAAUCCUCUAUCAUUUGUUCAAAUCUAGUCAGUAAAGAUUUUUUGCAACUAAACUAGAGAAGAAACAGAGUGUUUUCUGGCAGAUUCUAAGGCAGUUAAUUCACAGCUGGAAAAGCUCUAUGCUGACAAUAGGUGGCAGAAAGAAAGGAUGGGGCAGAGGAGUGAGAAGUGACUUAGUUCAGGCUCCCUUCCCCUGCCUCAACCCUGGAAAUCAUUUAAUUAAAGCCUUAAAAAGAGACUCUGUUUCCACCUAUAAAUCAGAGGAUAUGAUAACAAAACUCCAAGGAGGAUUUAAGCUGAAGACCAUAUUUUGUUAAUCAUUUAUUCAUUCAAUAAAAAUUUAUUAAGCAAGAUUGCUAUUCCAACCAAAAAUAACAAGUUUGAGGUAUCUAAAAUGAUAGUCGUUAAGUACAUGAAAGAUGAGGUACUAUCAAAUCCUUUCAAAAGAUUUACUGUUACUAUUGCUGUCUUUCAUGUCAAUAGGCUGCUGGCAUGUAGCUCUUUCACAGUGUAAUAUAAGUGUUUAGAAACUCUGUCCAGAGCUAGCUACCUGUAUUGCUUAGGUAGAGGUAUAUAUACCUAUGCUUUAAGUGCCCUACAUAAGUCAAAUUUGAGUUAUGAGUUAAUGGAUCUUCUAGUCAGGAAUAUAAAGCUUUAUGCCCAUAUCUUUAGCGUUUUAGUACAAACUACCAUUUUAAUAUCAUUGAUUAUAAGUAAUAAAGUAAAAAGAAGGCUUUUUACUUCUUAUAACAUUAAUAUUUAUACCCAUCUGAAUUGAACAAUGAGAACACAUGGACACAGGAAGGGGAACAUCACACACCGGGGUCUGUUGUGGGGUGGGGGGAGGGGGGAGGGAUAGCAUUAGGAGAUAUACCUAAUGCUAAAUGACGAGUAAAUAGGUGCAGCACACCAACAUGGCACGUGUAUACAUAUGUAACUAACCUGCACGUUGUGCACAUGUACCCUAAAACUUAAAGUAUAAUAAUAAUAAAAUUAAAAAUAUAUAUAUUUAUACCCAUCUUACCAAAGCAAGGUGAAAGUUCUAUAAAAACACAUAAAAAAAUAGUUAACUGAUGCACAAAACGUAGACUGCUGUGGCCAAAGGAAAAUUGCUUAGGUUAGUUUUAAUUUUUUUGCUCUUAGUACUUGCUCAGUUUAGCUAAUUAUAAUAUGCUUAAAAGUACUUUAAAGCUGGUGGCUGUAUAGGCCAGCAUUCAUAAAUAAUUCAACUAUGAUUAGUUUAAAUGUAACUAUAAUUAGUUAAAAUUUAACUAUAAUUAAAAAGAAAAUAGACAGUGAAUAUGAAGAAAAUAUCAAGAAAAAUAAACUUUGGUUAUGAGUAUUAACAAAAGUUAUAAACAUCCAACCAAAUGAAUACAGCAAAACAAUUCCAAAUAAACUAUGUUAAAAUGUUCUUCAUAAGUUUUGGGACUUAUUACCCAAAAAUGAGUUUUUGUUUUUUACCUUAAUAGUGAAGACAAGUGUAAUUUUCUCUCUCUUUUAGUAAAAACUAUGGGCCCAUCUCAUUCUUAUAAAAUGAUUUUUAUACAUCAUAGGCUUAAUGCAUGAAUUUAAUCUUAAGAAGGCAUUAUGCUUAGAAACAGAUUGUGCCCCAAGAAGCUUACAGCCUACAAGAAGGAAUACACAGAAUUGUACACAAGCAAUAACAAUAAACUCAAAGAAAUGUGGCAUAAGGAGGAGGGAGAGAAGCAACAUUUGGCUGUGGGCAAUAGGAAGGUUUCAGGGAGAAACAGGUCUGAAGCUGAAUAGCUGUGUUUCUACCUAGAAUUUUGUUCCUUUUUGUUGUUGUUUUGUUUUGUUUUAGAAUGUGGUACAGGAAUGUAAUGCAUUUCAGACUAGCUUUUUAAUCCAAAUUCCUGGGCCCAUCUCAUCUGCUAGUUGUUCCUGCGUUUCAUAGAGAACUCUGACCAAGGGAAAAUAACUGUGCUGGCCCCUGAUUUAUCACAGGGGCUUUACUUACUCAUUCAGAUGCUGAAAUCUUUCCUGCCAGUUAACAGCCCGAGCAACAUUUCCAGUUUUAUCAGUCAGUUUUAUUCCAAAAAAUUCUAGCAUCAUUUUAUAAGCCAGGAGGAAUCUUCUAAUUGCUUCUUUUGUUUUUUUGAAUUCCUAAUAUAAAAAAUGAAAAAAGUCACCUGAAAUGAUUCAGUAGCUACAAGGACAGUGAAAUAGCAAUAUUAUUUGGCCACCCUGUAUAAAAUGAAAUGAGCUUGCAUUACCUCAAUUUCAUAUGUAGUUAGUUCUUUGGCAUAGAAGUUCAAGCCUUGUUCUCUCAGGGGGAAAAGCCUAUUUAUUUUAAAAAAAUAAAAUUUUUCUAUUAACGUUGUCUGGAAAACAUACAUGAUUAAAUAGGACAUGGUUCAAGAUAGAUAAUAUGUAACUGACCAUUGAAUGUAAGUGUGGUUGUGCUCCAGUUUUUCAUAAUCUCCUUUCCAUUUACUUAGAACUUCUUCAAUGUAAACACCUAAAUAGUAAAUAUUUAAAAAUGAACCAGACAUUUCAAACAUUGUGAAGGCAUUUUAAGAUUCGAAUCACUUGAGUUUUAUAUGAAAACUUGUUUAAAUUUAAUAAUAGCACACAAGAAUAGUGCUUUUAAAAAGAUGAAUACCCUAUGCCCAUAUAUUCGGUUAUGUGAUAAAUCUAAUUAAAAAAAAUUAAUAGCACCUCAAAUUGCACAAGGCUUUGUUGGACAAUGUACUCUAAAGCAGAGCUUGGCAAACUGUGGCCUGCCAGCUGUUUUUUAAAUAAAGUUUUAUUGGAAUAUAGCUAUGCACAUUCAUUUAUGUACUGUCUAUGGCAGUUUUUGUACUACAGUAGCAGAGCUGUGUAGUUGCAAUACAGACCCACUGUCCCCCAAAGCCCAAAAUAUUUACUAUUUGCCCCUGUAUAGAAAGUUUGCCAAUCCCAGUCCUAGGAGUUAUAUAGUUCUUUAAAUGCUAAAUUGGAUCAAAAUGAAUUGCAUCCUAGGGAAAAAGAAAGAAAGGGGAGUAGAAAUAGAAGAAAAGAAAUGAGAAGGAGAAAACAAAGGAGAAGGAAAACGAGAAAAGAAAAAUGUAGGAAAAAGUUGUAAGUGCUUACUACAUGCUGUGCCCAUAUUACACAGAGCGCACAUUUUCCAGCUUAGUCUUCACAGAAUGCUGCCAGUGUUAUGAUCCUCAUUUUAACAAUGAAGAAACUGGGAGAUUUGUUCAAAGUUACACACUAGUAAAAAAGUAAAUCUUGAGUGCAACAUAGGUCUUUCUGGUUCCAAGAAGUAAGCCCUUUUCACCCUGUCCACUUUUCCUCUACAAGAACUUACAAAAACAAAAUCCUCCUGUUCCUAAGUCUGUCAAGGUCCUUACAAUUGACUAGCCAUUUAGUCAAUGUUGUAGAAAAUAAAAUAGCAAUAUAAUAUUUCUCCGAACAUAACUCAUCUCAUUCUUGUUUCCUCCAGAGAUCACCAGUUUGUAGUAGAGGCCCACUCUCGGAAGGUUUGGUAAAAAGUUGUUUUGAAUCAUAAUGUUGGCUUUAUUGGCAUGUUGAAACCAUUUACCUCUGUAAUUUUCCAUUUGUUUUCCUUUCCAACUACCACUCCUCCUGCCUGAUAAAUAAAUACCAUUGCAAGAUUAUGCUUACUGGCAAGUAGUGUGUGUGUGCGUGUGUGCGUGUGUGUGUAUACUAGGGAGGAAAGUGAGUUGAUAUAAUUUGUAUAAUAAACUAGGAUAAACAUUUUAUCUGACCUUAGCUAAAACUUCUGACCCCCACCAAUCAUAAGAUUUCAAAAUAAACUUUGUAGUAAAGAUUACCAAAAAUUCAAUAUAUUGCUUGAAAUUACUUUUUAAAUUAAUAUUUACAAAAUAAAUUCCCUAGUAGAAAAAAAUAGAGUUAAAUACUAUCAUAGCUUUAUGUUUAAUAUUUUUAAUAUGUGAAGGCAUUCCUUUAGGAAAAUUGUAUGAAAUUCAAAUCAGACUCAAAUUAACAAUCUAUCAUUGCAUUUCUUCAAAAUAUUUUUCUACCCCAAGUCCUAACAAAAUGAAUAAUUUGGCCAAUAUUUUUCCAUUAGUAAAUAAAGCAGCACAUUUCUAUCAUUAGUAAAUAUAACUGUGCAAUUUUAUCCAGAGGUUUCAUUCCACAUCACAGCAGACUUUCAGGACACCAGAAAGUUAAAGACAAGUAGAUCUGGCCACGUCAACGAUGUUCUCAAAUAUUAACUCCCAACUGGUAGGUCUGUUGGUACACAGUACUGGGACUCCCUCCUCCCAAACUCAAUCCAGGCUUUAGACCUCUUGCCUCGAGUUAGUUCACCAAAGAAUGCAAGGUCCUGCCACUUGAAAGCCUUGCAGUCUAUCUCCUUCCUUCUGUGACUCACACUGCUGUGGAACUGGCUCAGUUUCCACUGAGAGCAAAUAGCAGAAGCCAGGGCAGUCUGACCACCUCACACAGAAAAGGGCUCUUGGGAGAGAAGCCAGCUUUCCUAGGGUGACCUGGAUAAAAUUAGGAUGACCACCAUGAACCACAGCAUGAUGCCUCAAUGAAAUAUGCAAUGUUGUGGUCAUAUUACCAUAGCAGCUGCAUCUUCUCACUAUGGGUUUGGAAAAUAUCCUAGGAGGGCAAUUGCAGAGUUGGGAAGGAGACAAGUGUAUUUGGCAGAGUUGGAUGGAGAUCUACUGUAUCUGCAGUUCCCUUCCCAGAAUAUUGGAACUCCAAACAGGGAUUGCUGUAGAUUGCUGAUACUGAAUCUGAAAACUGACAGGAAAGAUAAUUCUAAAUACAAACAGCACUUUUCAAUCACAUGCUAAAUAGUUUUCAGCUAUGGCACAAUGGAAAGAACAGUGGACUCUAGAACCUGCAAUCGAGUGACCUAAGCUUUAAGUCCUAGUGACCUAAUCUUUGAGAUGAGAAAGCUGAAUUUGAUCUUCUCUACUGUUCCUUAAUAACCUAAAAUUCUAUGGUUCUAUACAUCUCCUCUCUCUUCCUGUCACAAAAAUUGUCCCUACUAUCUUUCAGAUAAUAGCAAUGUAAAUAAGAAAGAUACCAUUAAUCCAUAGCUCUUCCUCCAGAAUUUACCAAGGGGACACAUUAGACUGCAUAGCAAAGUAAAUCCAAUCAAUGAAACAAACCACAAAAUAAAGAAUAACCAAGUGUAUGUGAUUAUUUAAAGUGCAAUUUAUCAAGUAGUACGUUACUCACCAUCUGGCUUGAAUGGAAUUUUAUUCUUAUAAAAACGAAGAUUGCUCAAGUCAUUUUGAUAUCGGAUAUCUUUGAAGUUCUGCUAAAGGAAAAAAUAAAUCAAUCUCCAGCACAUAGAAAUACAGUAAAGAUACAAGGACCCUUCAUGCAUGUUUUCUCAGUGGCACCAUAAAAAUUUAAAAACAGAAGGAAAAUAGUUUACAGUUUAAAACAUAGCAUUCUAUACUCUUACUGGGUACUGGUGUCGGUACUUGUACAAAUCCCUGGCAGCAUAAAAACUUCUCUUUGGUUUGGCAGUUGCUUCAGUGGAAUCACCACCCUGAAAUAAAAGGUGAAACUCCGUUUACAUGUUGACGCAAGAUAAUUUCACAAAGAAAUUUCCAGAACAAACUUAAGGAAGAUCCAUAAAGAAAGCCUGAAAAUUGUCAAUCUGUCCAGAUUAAUGAAAAUAUUAUAAAUAUUCCUUUAAUAACGCUUACUAGCAAUAUUUCUUAGCAUCCUAUUUUUCUUAUUUGAACCAAUAACAUUUGUCCUAAGAUAUAUUACUGAAUAAAACACUUUAUUAUUAACCAAAAACCUAAGAGGCCAAUGUUAUGGAUCAAUAUCCAUCAAAAAUGGAACUCAAAAAGGAAUUCAAGACAUUUAUUUACCAGAUGAUUAUGCAAGUGAUUCUAUGAUAAAACUUAUUUUAGAAUAUUUUACAUAAUACUAAGAAUGUGUUAAGUUACUAAAUCAAUUCUACAAAGAAAAUUGUCAUUAAAUUUGCAACAUUUAGCUGUACUUGGAAGUCAAGUAAUAUUUAUGAAAAGAAAGGAUUUUAAAACAAACUAGCUUUCUAAACUCCAUCCUUUAUAAUACCAUGACAAGUACACAAAGGCAUGAAUAAUCAUCUGUUCACUGAAUGAUAAUACAAUGUGAUAUAAACAUUUAAAAUAUAUACACACAAAGCAAUAAAAUGCUCUUAAAUGGAAUGGUGUCCAAUUGAAACAACUUAUACAUGGUAGUUUACUCAUACUGUUCAAACUCUUAAGUAAAAUUCCUAUCACCAUGAACUGAUUUUUAAAGUAUAAGAUGUGGGUUAAAAUAAUCGAUUUGCAUUCCCUAUAUGUACUAUUAUAAUGUAUGAGAAAGUGCUGAUGACAAUCAUGAAAAAGAAAAACUUUAGACCUUUAAGAGUCAUUAAAAGCUUUGCCCCAAAUUCUUUUCUCCUCAACCCCUGUCCUCCAUCUGUGUUGACAGAUUGGCAUCCUCUAAGUAAUUUUCACACAUUUUUGAAGUGGUGUGAUUCUCACUAUUACUACAAGUACCGAGUUACUUCAACAUCAAAUCUUCUGAUGCUUAACAUUAGUUACGCUGUCAUGUUACAUAAGCAAGGAAAAGCUUGAAUUCUGGUCCUUGCCACACGUUUCAAAAUAGCUCUGCCUAGCAAGUUUCUGAAUCUAUUUAGCCUGAGAUACAACCAUAUGAAUCAUCAUCCUACAUUUGUAUAGAAGGCACUCUCCAUUUACAAAGCACUUACAUAUAUAGCGAAUAGACAACAAACAGGGUUGACAGUCAAAAGGCAUUAUUUCAUUUGAUUCUUAAAACACACCUGAUUGACAGUUAAUAAGUGUUUCCAUCUUAGAAACAAGAUAUCAGGGGCUUAGAGAAGUUGCACACCACCCA
This 9948-nucleotide long non-coding RNA is filed under the name Homo sapiens (human). RNAcentral's name for it is "HSALNT0335027". The record is from RNAcentral. Lineage: Eukaryota; Metazoa; Chordata; Mammalia; Primates; Hominidae.